Marmota monax (woodchuck) is the source of this 5428-nucleotide long non-coding RNA. RefSeq lists it as uncharacterized. The record is from RefSeq and is a predicted model, not a curated record. The transcript has 2 exons. NCBI's taxonomy places the organism in Eukaryota, Metazoa, Chordata, Mammalia, Rodentia, Sciuridae.
CCCGCCGCGGGUCGCGGGCCUCCGCCCGUGCGCCGGCUCUCAGGCUGCAGCCCGCAGUCUGCUUGCGCGGUUAAACUGCGCAGGUGGAGGUUGGCUUCACACUUCUGAUGGAAACUGUUUAAGGCCUUUAACCGUGGGUGCGCCCCUCCUAAGCAGAGGCCGGGGGUCGCGGGCGUGAGCUGAGGGGUAGAAUCACCAGCCGCGAACCCCAUCCCCGGCUAACUGCCGUCCUUGGAUCCGUACGUGGGCAGAGCGGGCAGUGAGCACGGGGCGUUUGGGGUGUGUCCAGCUGCUUUCCCUCGCUGGCACUCUCAGGCGCCCGGGGCCAGCGCACUAAAGUCCAGCUACCGGAGGGAAGGUCGGGAGACCCGGCUGCGUGGACCAGGAACGCUUCCGACGGGAAGAGCUGGGGCAUCCUCCCGGCGUUCCCGCCAAGCAGGUCUGCAGCCCAGGGCAGCACGGUCAGCGAACAGAGCGCGUGUUCUCAACAUUAAACCUGGGGAUGGUGUCACAGCCUGGUGGAGCGAAUCAUCACCGCCCGAUGGGGCAGCAGAGGAGGACAUGCUGUCGUCUGCCUGCCUUUUGCUCUAGAUCCACUGGCUUUGCUGCCCUGCCCUGCCCUGCUCUGUGUGGGAGAGAACGCUGGCCUCCUGCAGGGUUCCACCAGAGGAACCCAGCCAUGGAAACCUGGGGGGAAGAAGAGACCCGCUCAUAGCACACUGUCUUUGUGAGGCUGAGAUGUUUUCUCCCGGGCAGCAUCUUACUGUCAGCCUAUUCUUCGUGGCAUGGAGACUGCUCCAACAGAAGCUUCCAGAAUGUCACUAUGGUGACUAACAGCUCUUCGCAUUGUCUUCCCUGCCCUGUGAGCAGUAGGGGCUUUGCCUGCUCAUCUCACCAGCCCCAGCCCCCUGCCUCUGUCACCCUCCUAACCAGUUCUGUUUAAUCCCUGUGUGGUUUCUGCUUUGGACUGAUAACCCAGCACAGUCCUUAGUAGUAGGAGUGACUCUGAGCAUUCACAGGCCUUAAGAGGGCAUUCCAGGACUGGAUUGCUCACAAGUCUAAGCUCCAGUGUGUUGACACGAAAUCAAUGACACGUGGGUAAUCAAUGACAAGGAGUGUCAAAGUGGUUUAUAUUAUUUUGUGUGGCUGCUGGUUGAUAGGAAGACCUUGAAAAAUUAAGUAGCUGCUCCAGCCAGGUAUUUAUGUAGCAGCACGACUACAAAGACUGAGUUGGGACAGACAGUACAGGAGUGCAUUCCGGUCUUAGUCUUUGCAUUUCUAACCCCAGGUACAAUCACAGAGCCAGGGAGCUCCCAUAGCAGCUCUAAUAGGAUCUCUCAUUUUUGCACCUGCAAAGUAGUCAGAACUGAGGAACAGACCCAAACCUACCUGGCAGUAGGGUAGGAAGCAGGCUGAGCACAGUCCUGCCACAUCUCAUAUUAAGGUAGGUCAUUAAUUGAAAAAUGGGGGCUGGGCAUAUAGCUCAGAUGGUAAGAGUGCUUGCCUCGAAUGCACAAAGCCCUGGGUUCAAUCCCCAGCGCCACCACCAAAAAAAAAAAAAGAGUUCUUGAUUAAUUGAAAAGUGGGGCCCUGAGGAUUAAUUUAGACAUUGGCUAAAACAUGAAAUCCAGAAUACUCAUCUUCAGUGGUCUGCUCAGCCCCUUUACAGAGACAGACCUGCCUUUCUCUGACGUCCAGGAACAACCAGCAUGGCUAUUCUCAUCAUAAGUAAGUUAAAAUGAAAUUUCAAAGAAAGAAAGGAUAGGCAGACAAAAAUCACAGAAGAGGAGCAGAAAACCAAUUUUUAAAUGGUAUUUAAAUCCAACCAUACUAAUAACUACAGCAAAAAUCAUGGAAUGAAGCAUCCAAUUAAAAUCAGAGACCGGCUGGGCAUGGUGCACCUGUAAUCCCAGCAACUCAGAAGGCUGAGGAAGUGUGAUAGUAGGAGCAAAUGUGACUCCAUUUUGUUUUAUGACUUCAUCCUGUAAAACUACCAUGCCAAGUAGAAGAGUCAUGACUGGAGCAAGAUGUUCUUUUCCUUUUGCUAUAGAAACCUUUAAGAACACGGAACUACCUAAUGGGGUAUUGUUUCUGUAACUAGGGUAACGGGGCUCUGUUUCUGUAACUGGGGUGACUGGGCUAACUGUGAUUGGUUAGGCUUCCCUCCGCUUGACUGCACUGUCCCGCUUCUGUAACCUGGCUUGCUUGCAUUGGCUAGACCCCCUGAACAUCCCUUUUGCAGUUUUCAGGCUUAUAAGGAGUGCCCUUGCAAUUGUUCAGGGCUGAUCAGGGGAACAGCUUUAUGUUCUGGUCAGCCGCCACCGGUGUGCUUCAAUAAAGGCUUGAUUCGAUUAUACGUGAGUGGUCUGGAAGUCAGUUCAUGAAACCCUGGGACAAAGCUUUAACUAUAACAUUUGGGGGCUCCUCCAUGAUCCAUUUCUUCCCUACCCUCACGCCAAAUUUGCCUCCAAUGACAGGCCUUUGGACCUCGGCCCCGGAGUAGAGGGGAGCUCCUGAGAGACAUUCCUCAGCCUCACUCCGAGGACGACUCCAAUCUGUCCUAGGACGCUCUGAAAAGCCUCCUGCCGGCUGUCAGUUCUGGUGAGUCGACUCUUCUCUGGGGAAAAAGGUCAGAUUGGACGCAGUCGCUUACACCUUCCCCGGGACAGGACGAGACGUUGUCACUGUCUCCCUGGAGGUCUCCCUGUGAGACCUCAUCUGUCUGUAUCUGGGGCCCACUGGAGGCCUCCCUGGGAGGCCUCAUCUGUCUGGGGACAGGAUGAGACGUCGUCUCUGUCCCACUGGAGGCCUCCCUGUGAGGCCUCAUCUGUCUGGGGGCGAGACGAGACGUGGUCUCUGCCCCAUUAGAGGUUUCCCUGUGCGACCUCAGGGAUUGUUGCUUGUCCAGUGUCUGUUCUGCUGUUUAUCAUUUCUCCAGUGUCUUCUGCUGUUGGUCAUUUGUCCAGUGUCAGUUCACCAGCCAUUUGUUCUGUUUGUGGGGUCUCUGCCCCAUUAGAGGUCUCCCUGUGUGACCUCAGCGAUUGUUGCUUGUCCUGUGUCUGUUCUGCUGUUUGUCGUUUCUCCAGCAUCUUCUUGCUGUUUGUCAUCUGUCCUGUGUCUGUCCGCUGGCCGUUUGUCUUAUGUUUAAUCUGUCUGAGUGUUGUGUGCGGGCCCUUUUCUUGUUCCCAUAACCGCUCUUCUUUCAUCAGGACUCCUUCGCUCCACCGACAUCAGAGACAAGGAAGCGCUACAGAGAUCUCUACCUGGACCCCUUUAACUUGCUUUCUUAACAAUUCUCAGGACUUUGUCUGUUGGUUUGUUUUUGUUUGUUUCCUUUGCGUUCUGUGUUAAUUUCUACCUCAGUUUGUUUCUAAUGGAAAAAAAUGGUUAAAACGGUUUUAACUGUGCUCACUACAGCUUGCAUUAAAAUGUAAAGUGCUGUCAACAGGACUAAAAGAAUUGUCAAAAGUAAAAGCUAAAGGUAAAAAGAAAAAGGCAUUCUAGAGAUUGCCUUCAUUUAGGAGCUGGGCCAGGUGGCCAACUGGGUAAAUCAUGUCACUUCCUAUAGAGGACAGAUUAAAACUAAAGUGUUUUAUAAAAUUAUCAUUCCUAUAUUGUAUAACAAAAAACAUAAUUUUGUCUAGGAAAUUUGGCUUUUGUCUCUCAGUAUUUACAAGCAUGAAUAACUCCCAACUAUUAAAAAAUGGUCUAAAGAUUUUUCAAUGUCAGGCUAAAAGUUGGUGGCCGCUAUCCAAGAAACCAGAAAAACCAGUUUAGAAUGGGACCCCAACCUGGGGGACUCUCCCAAGGAGACCAAUGAAGCUGCGUCUUUGGGAAGUUCCUCCGGGGAAAAAUAAGCCCCCUUCGUUUGUCUAUGUUCCCUUGACUCUUUUCAGCUUUCAUGAACAGGACCACCUCAGGAAAAAGAAGUGCCCACCCCAGGUGAAUUUACAUCCUGUUCUUCCUGAGCCAGAUUUUUACCAUGGACUCCUUGACCCACUCAGUUUCUAAAAAGGGACUCCAAACUGCUUGCCCACUGCACAUCGCCCCCUUUCAGCUGGAAGUAGUAAGAACGGUCAUCGCCCUCUUCCCUUACUGCAGUUGGAGGUCCCUAAUAUUAGAAAAAAAAAUUCCGGUCAACAUAGAUGUUCGCCAAUAUGUCUAGCUCAGGAAGAUGUACCUGGGAAACUACUCCCAAGAUUACACUGGGUGAUCUCCCAGAAAGAGACACUUGCUUCUACAACCCAACUUAUAAGUGGGACAACUCUCCCUGUUCACCAAAAAUUGUGCUUCCCGGGUCCCACUUUGAACCCUUGACUAAAUCUCCAAACUGUCAAUAACUCUGAACUAUGUAACCUACUAUUUUGAUGGAGUAAAAGAAAAAGAACACCUGGACUUAUUAAAAGGCCAGGCCCCACUGAUUUAUCAACAUAGACUGGCUGCCCCCAUUUUAGUUCCCCUCCUGGCUGGCUUUGGAAGUCCCUCAGCUGUCAAAUAGAUAUAGAUUUAGAAAAACUAGAAAGGUCAAUCUCCAAACUAAAGGUUUCACAAGUUCUACAGAAAUAGUCUUACAAAACAGAUGAGGUCUAGAUGGUCUCUUUCUGAAACAAGGAGGACUUUGUAUGGCUCCAGGAGAAACUUGUCUCUAUGCAAACCAUUCUGGGAUAAUAAAGAACAGUUUGGCACUUCUGAAAAACAGGUUAAAUGAAAGAGAUGAAACACUAGGAAAUUCAGGCAAUUGGUUCCAAAACCUUUUCUCAUGGUCCCCUUGGUUGACUACCAUCAUUUCAGCCAUAGUUGGGCCCCUAGUCCUUCUCCUGAUUGGUAUUACUGUAGGACCCUGCCUCUUAAAAUCCCUCCUAAACCAUAUACAAAAGAAUGUAGGUGAGGUCAGACUUAUGGUCUUGCGAGCCCAGUUUAGUCCCUUAGACACAGAAGGUUGGAACAAAAACUGAGACCUAAUGAUGUGCAAGAUUGACAUCAAACCUACUCAAACCAGUGGGGAAUGUGAUAGUAGGAGCAAAUGUGACUCCAUUUUGUUUUAUGACUUCAUCCUGUAAAACAACCAUGCCAAGUAGAAGAGUCAUGACUGGAACAAGAUGUUCUUUUCCUUUUGCUAUAGAAACCUUUAAGAACACGGAACUACCUAAUGGGAUAUUGUUUCUGUAACUAGGAUAACGGGGCUCUGUUUCUGUAACUGGGGUGACUGGGCUAACUGUGAUUGGUUAGGCUUCCCUCCGCUUGACUGCACUGUCCCGCUUCUGUAACCUGGCUUGCUUGCAUUGGCUAGACCCCCUGAACAUCCCUUUUGUGGUUUUCAGGCUUAUAAGGAGUGCCCUUGCAAUUGUUCGGGGCUGAUCAGGGGAACAGCUUUAUGUUCUGGUCAGCCGCCACCGGUGUGCUUCAAUAAAGGCUUGAUUCAAUUAUA